GUGGGGAAUAUUGGACAAUGGGCGAAAGCCUGAUCCAGCCAUGCCGCGUGUGUGAAGAAGGUCUUCGGAUUGUAAAGCACUUUAAGUUGGGAGGAAGGGCAGUAAGUUAAUACCUUGCUGUUUUGACGUUACCGACAGAAUAAGCACCGGCUAACUUCGUGCCAGCAGCCGCGGUAAUACGAAGGGUGCAAGCGUUAAUAGGAAUUACUGGGCGUAAAGCGCGCGUAGGUGGUUUUGUAAGUUGGAGGUGAAAUCCCCGGGCUCAACCUGGGAACUGCCUCCAAAACUGCAUGACUAGAGUACGGUAGAGGGUAGUGGAAUUUCCUGUGUAGCGGUGAAAUGCGUAGAUAUAGGAAGGAACACCAGUGGCGAAGGCGACUACCUGGACUGAUACUGACACUGAGGUGCGAAAGCGUGGGGAGCAAACAGGAUUAGAAACCCGGGUAGUCC
RNAcentral lists this ribosomal RNA (450 nucleotides) under uncultured bacterium. RNAcentral's name for it is "partial 16S ribosomal RNA". It matches the Rfam family "Bacterial small subunit ribosomal RNA", at positions 354 to 796 of the family's 1533-position model. The record is from RNAcentral.